This 439-nucleotide ribosomal RNA is filed under the name uncultured Desulfocapsa sp. Its description in RNAcentral is "bacterial SSU rRNA". It matches the Rfam family "Bacterial small subunit ribosomal RNA", at positions 948 to 1382 of the family's 1533-position model. The record is from RNAcentral. Lineage: Bacteria; Pseudomonadati; Thermodesulfobacteriota; Desulfobulbia; Desulfobulbales; Desulfocapsaceae.
AAUUCGACGCAACGCGCUAGAACCUUACCUGGUCUUGACAUCUCGGGAAUCAUUUGGAAACAUAUGAGUGCCUCGCAAGAGGGAGCCCGAUGACAGGUGCUGCAUGGCUGUCGUCAGCUCGUGUCGUGAGAUGUUGGGUUAAGUCCCGCAACGAGCGCAACCCUUGUCUUUAGUUGCCAUCAUUAAGUUGGGCACUCUAAAGAGACUGCCGGUGUCAAACCGGAGGAAGGUGGGGAUGACGUCAAGUCCUCAUGGCCUUUAUGACCAGGGCUACACACGUACUACAAUGGCAGGUACAAAGGGCAGCCACUUAGCGAUAAGGCGCGAAUCCCAUAAAACCUGUCUCAGUCCGGAUUGGAGUCUGCAACUCGACUCCAUGAAGUUGGAAUCGCUAGUAAUCGCGAAUCAGCAUGUCGCGGUGAAUGCGUUCCCGGGCCUU